Molecule: ribosomal RNA, 478 nt
Filed under: uncultured bacterium
Lineage: Bacteria
Description: partial 16S ribosomal RNA
Rfam family: Bacterial small subunit ribosomal RNA
Source: RNAcentral
GACGAACGCUGGCGGCGUGCUUAACACAUGCAAGUCGAACGGUAAGGCCCUUCGGGGUACACGAGUGGCGAACGGGUGAGUAACACGUGGGUGAUCUGCUCUGCACUUCGGGAUAAGCCUGGGAGACUGGGUCUAAUACCGGAUAGGACCACUGCCUGCAUGGGUGGUGGUGGAAAGCUUUUGCGGUGUGGGAUGGGCCCGCGGCCUAUCAGCUUGUUGGUGGGGUGAUGGCCUACCAAGGCGACGACGGGUAGCCGGCCUGAGAGGGUGACCGGCCACACUGGGACUGAGAUACGGCCCAGACUCCUACGGGAGGCGGCAGGGGGGAAUAUUGCACAAUGGGCGCAAGCCUGAUGCAGCGACGCCGCGUGAGGGAUGACGGCCUUCGGGUUGUAAACCUCUUUCAGCACCGACGAAGCGCAAGUGACGGUAGGUGCAGAAGAAGGACCGGCCAACUACGUGCCAGCAGCCGCAGUAA